UACGGAAGGUGCGAGCGUUAAUCGGAAUUACUGGGCGUAAAGCGCACGUAGGUGGUUUUAUAAGUCGGAUGUGAAAGCCCCGGGCUUAACCUGGGAAUUGCAUCUGAUACUGUCUGACUAGAGUAUGCUAGAGGGAAGUGGAAUUCCAGGUGUAGCGGUGAAAUGCGUAGAUAUCUGGAGGAACACCAAUGGCGAAGGCAACUUCCUGGGGCAAUACUGACGCUGAGGCGCGAAAGCCAGGGGAGCAAACGGG
This 253-nucleotide ribosomal RNA is filed under the name uncultured bacterium. Its description in RNAcentral is "partial 16S ribosomal RNA". It matches the Rfam family "Bacterial small subunit ribosomal RNA", at positions 524 to 776 of the family's 1533-position model. The record is from RNAcentral.